CAACUUCAAGAUAUGAUGAGUCGACAUUAUUGCUUUUUUCUGGGGGGGGUGGGGUGGGGUGGGGUAAUCCAUUUACAAACAUCUUCUUUUUCUGUUUCUGGUACAUCCAAUAGAAUUGACAUCCAUAACUCUAAGAAUUUGCCUCUCAUCUACUAAUUUCCUCUUGGAUAAAGCUACUUUUUUUGGUUUCUUUGGUGCAGGUGGACAGCUGAGAUUUUUUGGGAUAAAAAACUUAGGUGAAGUUGGUGUUAGACAUUUAUUUUCUUCACUAGUACUACUACUACUGCAUUUUUCAGAAUUCAUAAACUUCAAAUUCUGAUUCUGUCUCUGUCCAUCAACAGUCUUGAAAAAUGAGUCAACUUCAUCUCUUGCUACGAUCUCGAAAAAUUGCAGCUCGUGAUCUAAUAAUUUCCUUUUACAGGAAGGUAUCCUUUUAGGUUUCUUUGGUGCAGUUGGACAGUUGAGAAUUUUAGGGAGUAAAAACUGAGGUGAUUUUGGUGUGUGACAUUCUUCUUCAUUGCUAAUAGUACUACUGCAUCUUUCUUCUGUAUUACUAGAAUUUUGAGAAGUAGUAAUCUUGAUAUUUGGUAACUGGUUUUCCAAGAAAUCUUGUUGGAAUUCUAGAUCUGUGGACAUAGCUUUUUUGGGCAGAGUUUAGAAUUUUUGAGGAAUUGAAAGAGAGAAAGAGAGAAAAAAGGGAGGUG
Molecule: long non-coding RNA, 704 nt
Filed under: Nicotiana benthamiana
Lineage: Eukaryota; Viridiplantae; Streptophyta; Magnoliopsida; Solanales; Solanaceae
Description: long non-coding RNA (NBEN_LNC028151)
Source: RNAcentral